Molecule: ribosomal RNA, 254 nt
Filed under: uncultured bacterium
Lineage: Bacteria
Description: partial 16S ribosomal RNA
Rfam family: Bacterial small subunit ribosomal RNA
Source: RNAcentral
UACGAAGGGUGCAAGCGUUACUCGGAAUUACUGGGCGUAAAGCGUGCGUAGGUGGUGAGUUAAGUCUGUCGUGAAAUCCCCGGGCUCAACCUGGGAACUGCAUUUGUGACUGCAGGGCUAGAGUACGGUAGAGGGGGAUGGAAUUCCGCGUGUAGCAGUGAAAUGCGUAGAUAUCGGGAGGAACACCAGUGGCGAAGGCGGCCACCUGGACGGGAUACUGACGCUGAGGUGCGAAAGCGUGGGGAGCAAACAGG